AAACUUGAGAGUUUGAUCCUGGCUCAGAACGAACGCUGGCGGCAGGCUUAACACAUGCAAGUCGAACGCGUGUAGCAAUACACGAGUGGCGCACGGGUGAGUAACGCGUGGAUAUCUGCCUUUUGGUUCGGAAUAACCC
Molecule: ribosomal RNA, 139 nt
Filed under: Alphaproteobacteria bacterium
Lineage: Bacteria; Pseudomonadati; Pseudomonadota; Alphaproteobacteria
Description: partial 16S ribosomal RNA
Rfam family: Bacterial small subunit ribosomal RNA
Source: RNAcentral